AGAGUGAAUUACUGUGAUUCAAUGACUGACUGAUAAGUGCUGAUGCAAAGAGAUGAUAUUGAUUCGAAGAUGAUGUUGACGACGACGAAGCAGAGUAUCAUUCUAAACCCCUCAAACUAAGGCACUGACUCCUCUCUCUAUCCUACAAUCUCACUCUCAAAUCUCAAUUCACCCAAAUAUCGGUUCAGAUUGGGGCAACGUUUCAUUCGUGUAAGGAUUUCCCAACGUGGACGUUGCGUUAGCGAGGUCAAAAUACACUAUUUAGAAGUUGUUACGUCCACACAGAAAGCUUAGCUUUCUAGCAGUGUGGGAAUACAAAAAUGGGAGUGACAUCAGUGAUUUACAAUGGUGUCCACACAAUCCCUCUGAAAUUCAAUGUGGGGCUCAAUACCACCCCCAAUUCAUCCUCCACUUCUUUGUUUGCUACUCAGUUCUCGCAUCGUCCAUGUUUGAUGUUUCGCUCAGCGAUUCAUUCCCGGAAAAUUCCUUUGCCUAAUUUCUCAGUUGUUUAUGCAAAGAGUACCAAGGAGGAAGAUGGUACUUCCACUGCCUCAGAAUGGCAUGGAGAUGAUACUGGAUCACGUCCGAGUAGUAGUGGCAGCAAGUCUCAUUUAUCAACUUCUGUAGGCUGUGUAGUAAAAGAAAAGCAUGAUCAAGAAAGCUAUAUGUCAUCUGUUAGAACUGUUGCUUUGUGUGUAAGCACUGCGGUGGCAUUUGGUAUUGGUUUGGGUUUCACAGGUGGUGUUGGCAAAGCUACAGAAUUUUUUGCCGGGUACCUUUUGGAGCAAAGUCUUUCUGUGGACAAUCUGUUUGUCUUUGUUUUAGUUUUCAAGUACUUCAAGGUGCCAAUUAUGUACCAGAAUCGUGUGCUCUCUUAUGGUAUCGCUGGCGCCGUUAUAUUCCGAUCUUCACUAAUACUUCUUGGGACAGCCACCCUUCAGAGGUUUGAAGUGGUGAACCUUCUACUGGCAGCAAUACUCCUGUAUUCCUCAUUCAAGUUAUUUUCCACUGAAGAAGAAGAUGAAGACUUAUCGGAAAAUUUUAUAGUGAAGGCUUGCCAGAAAGUUAUUCCUGUGACAGCUAAUUAUGAUGGCAAUCGGUUUUUCACAAUCGACAAUGGUGUGUGGAAGGCUACACCUUUACUUCUCACUGUAGCAGUUAUUGAGUUGAGUGAUAUUGCUUUUGCCGUUGACUCAAUACCAGCUGUGUUCGGUGUAACUCGAGAUCCUUUCAUAGUAUUUUCAUCCAAUCUCUUUGCCAUCUUAGGUUUAAGGUCGUUAUAUACUCUUAUUUCUGAAAGCAUGGCCGACUUGGAAUAUCUGCAGCCCUCCAUUGCUGUUGUACUAGGCUUUAUUGGGCUGAAGAUGAUCCUUGAUUACUUUGGAUUCCAUGUUGGAACAGAAGUAUCUCUUGGUUUUGUGGCAACGAGUCUUACUACUGGCGUGCUUCUCAGUUUGGUGAAAAAGUCUGAGUAGCUAGUACUGGCAUGAGAGUAUGACUCAUUGUAAAUCAUGCCGACUUCUGGCUUGUCACUCAGUAAUCUUUCAUACAGUGGAGAAGAACAUAUAAAGGCAUUCAGUAGGUGAAGCAACAGUUCACGAAAUUCUUGUUGACAUAACGCAGAGAAAAAUGUUAUGAAAUACAAAGUGCUAAUUCUCUCAAACUUGAUGCAGGCUUGCCACUAUGAGCAGGACAUCAAUUAGUAUAAUUCUGCUCACUCAAACUUGAUCUACACGCCACAAUGAGCAACAUCAACAGCUAUAAGAAGUGCAACGUCCUUACAAGAUGGGAGUGUGGGCAAUGAUCAUGGAACCAAUCAUUAGUAUGGUGGAUGAGAAGUGGAACAAAACAGUGCAAGGCUCUAAUCUCUUUGUGAUACAAAGGAAACUUCAUUUCAUUAAAGUAAGAAUGAAAGAGUGGUGCUUAAUGUACAAAAUGAUAGUGGGACUAAUUUCUUUAUACACUGAGUCGUCACCAAGAGGAGAUUACUACACUUGAGCACUUGAGCGUCGCUCAUAUUCCAAAGACAAUCAGACUGGAGUCCGCAUCACAGUUCAGACCAAUUGGUCUUUGCAACACACUAUGUACAAAAUCAUUUCAAAGACGAUGGUACUCAGACUGAAGUCUGUAGUGUCUGAUAUAGUUGGAGACUUCCAAAAUGAAUUCGUUCCGGGAAGAUUACUUGUUGAUAAUUGCUUGCUAGCUCAUGAAAUGAUGACCGUUGUGAAGAAAAGGAACAAAGGGAAGGAAUAUGCUGCUAUACUCAAGAUCGACCUCAACAAGGCAUAUGAUAGGUCCCUGGUCGGAAGUUUUCUAUAAAGGCGGACGCAUAGUAAACACUAGAUUACUAAAAUGCAAGAUGACUAGUAGUUCUGUUUCUUGAACUAUGUGGUCAUGGCAAUGUCGCAAUCAUUUGCAUAGAUACUUACUUGGUAAUAUUGGUAUCAAACAGACCUAUGAAACUUUACUGUAAGAGAUGAAAAUCUUCCAUAACUAAAUUUCAUUAUAUUAUUAGACACUAA
RNA transcript from Spinacia oleracea (spinach), 2522 nucleotides. It is a transcript of the gene named thylakoid membrane protein TERC, chloroplastic, with no coding region annotated. The record is from RefSeq and is a predicted model, not a curated record. Lineage: Eukaryota; Viridiplantae; Streptophyta; Magnoliopsida; Caryophyllales; Amaranthaceae. The transcript is spliced from 17 exons.